This is a long non-coding RNA of Armigeres subalbatus, 586 nucleotides long. RefSeq lists it as uncharacterized. The transcript is spliced from 3 exons. The record is from RefSeq and is a predicted model, not a curated record. NCBI's taxonomy places the organism in Eukaryota, Metazoa, Arthropoda, Insecta, Diptera, Culicidae.
UCCCAUCUCCUAUAGAUGGACUUCCCAACAUCUGCUACACCAAACGUUCUCUUAUCCCUUCUCUCUCGGGUGCUCUCUAUUUUUUUAAAGUCCAGGCUAUUGCUUUACUUUGAUUUUGGUGUGUGGUAUUCUGCUUGGACCGCUCUAUCAGAGAUGACCUGUUGUAAAUUUGAUUGGUGCGUAUUUGAAAUGUUGCUACUCUUUCGAGUGAAAAUGUCUUUUGCAAUGUGCCACGGAAACUUUCCAAAAACCACGAAUUGGACUUUAUGAUGGUUCCUGCUAAUUUCCUUCUUUUCGAUUAGUUUAUACGCUUUCCCGAAAAUCGUGUGUUUAUGGCUAAGAUGGAAUAAAGAUUCUUUGUCUAUCUACAUAGCCUUGCAUUUUAUCUUCAAAUAUUGUAUUUAAUUUUUAUUUUAUUUUUUUUUAAUUAAGCUUUUCCACUUCCGCUUUCUCUUUGUAUUUUAACUUUUAUUUUUUUCCGUGUUUCCGAUUUUCGUAUUUUACGGUUGUUCAUAUCUUUGCAACAUAGUUUCUGUACAUAGCUUUUUAAUUCUUUAUUUCUUUCUUUCAUUCUACCGACUUUGCG